UUAGUUUUUCUCAAAAAAGUCAAGUCAAAUAAAAACUAAAUUUUAUGUUUUCCCCAACCAAAUUUCUUAAAAAUGUAUAUAGAGGCAGCUCUUAUAAUCUACAAGUAAGCUAACAUAAAAGUGCUUUGAACUGCAAGAGCAAGUACGUGCGGCCCCAGUCGUGCAUUUUAUUUUUCUUGUAUUCUUGUUGUGUUUUUGCAUUGCAAAAUCCCGUUUUAACUGUUUCUUUUUUAAGGCGGGAUUUUUGGAAGAAAAAUAGAGCUGUGUGUGUGCAGAUGGAUUGUGGACGUAUUUAAAAAAACAACCUGUACAAUAUAUGCAUUUUUUUCUCUAAUAUUUUUUUCAUAAGGUAGGUUGGGAUGAGGAAUAAAAAUAUGAGCAUGAAGUGAUCUGUGGUGUUGCAAUAUUGUUUGUCAAUUAAAAAAAUGGAAUGGCUAAUAGAAAAUCGUCGUUUUGAAGUAAAAGAGCACCAAAGAAAAUAGAACUCAGAUACCAUUACCACUCAAGACCGUUUUGCACAUAUUUUUUUUUUCUUUCUGUCCAUAGAAAUAGACCUUGUGGCUCGAGUAUCGAGUCUUCCUGGCGAACGUUUAUUGUUUCUUUCUAUUAAAAGAAAAUACGGUUGAUGUUGGUCAGGCUGGCUCAACGAGAACGGUUCAUGAAAAAAAAAAACAACAAAAAAACUUACUCAGUAGUUCAGUACCUAACCUACUCACAAAAGAUCUAUUAGAAGAGAAAGAAAGAAUAAGGAAUAUGUAUCUACUUGUACAUAUUUGGGUUGGUUUUUUGUUUGUUUUUUUUUGCAAUUUAGUUUUGUUUUUGUUUCCUUGGAUGGCGCGAUUGAGUAAUUUACCCCGUUUGUAGGACCGAUUUAAAGAUCGAAUUGAAACUGAAUCGAAAUUUCGAUCCAGGUAUAUGGAAGUGCCAGAUCGAGGAAUCGAGUUGAAAUAGAAUCGAAAAAACAAUUUUUCUUUUUAAUAUAUUUGCAGUAAAAUAGAAAAAUCUAACCAAAAACAAAGUGCAAGUAAAACUAGAUAUCAUUAGACAUACAUACAGUGAAUUUGCAAAUAAGAAGACAAUCACACACAAUUUCCACCAUAAAUUAUAUCUCGAGUAUUCAAUUCGUUAGGUAUAUAUGCAUAUUUUCGAUUCGAUUCAGCUCCCCGAAUCGGAUCGACAAAUCCGGAUUCAAUUCGAUUCAGGUAUAUAUAGACCUAAAUCCUGAUUCAAUUCGGAAUCAAUUGGCCAUACAAACGGGGUAAUUGUGUGUAGGUAUGCAAAAGGAAUGUGAAUGCAUUUUAAGAAUGGGUGUCCCCGAAUGACGACCCUUCAAGCAAGAAAACUGAGUUCAACAAAGAAACUCCGACCUCAGACCGCGAAAAUCGGGGUUGCACUCACACACUUACAACUUUUUGUGUAUGAACACAAAAGUCGAACGAGAAUCGUGGUGAAAAAUGAGAAAAGGAAAAGAAAGACAAGGCCAACAAGAGCCAAAGCGUCAUUAUGUUAUUUUUUGUUGAAGUGUUUGGUCGCGUCGUGUCUCGUGUCGUUGUUUGUAUAAUGUUAGAUUAUUAACUAUAAACAAUUAUAUUAAAUUAUAAACAAUAUGGAAAACAAAAAAGAUGUAAUCUCUAAGAAAAAUCCAGAAGGUGAAACAUGCGAUUGGGUAUCUAAAAAAAAAACACCAACAACAGCAGCAGCAUCAAAUGAAAUAAAAUGAAAAAAAUAUAUUGUAUUUUAUAUUGUAUUUAUUGUGAAAAUUUCGUUUGCCAAAAUAAAAUAAAAAAUAAAACA
Molecule: long non-coding RNA, 1794 nt
Organism: Episyrphus balteatus (marmalade hoverfly)
Lineage: Eukaryota; Metazoa; Arthropoda; Insecta; Diptera; Syrphidae
Exons: 2
Source: RefSeq, a predicted model, not a curated record